CGAGAUGCCCCCAGUAGCGGCGAGAGAACGGGGAGCAGCCCAGAGACUGAAUCAGUGUGUGUGUUAGUGGAAGCGUCUGGAAAGGCGUGCGAUACAGGGUGACAGCCCCGUACACAAAAAUGCACAUACUGUGAGCUCGAUGAGUAGGGCGGGACACGUGGUAUCCUGUCUGAAUAUGGGGGGACCAUCCUCCAAGGCUAAAUACUCCUGACUGA
This 215-nucleotide ribosomal RNA is filed under the name Escherichia coli. RNAcentral describes it as "partial 23S ribosomal RNA". It matches the Rfam family "Bacterial large subunit ribosomal RNA", at positions 230 to 483 of the family's 2925-position model. The record is from RNAcentral. Lineage: Bacteria; Pseudomonadati; Pseudomonadota; Gammaproteobacteria; Enterobacterales; Enterobacteriaceae.